ACGGGUGCGUAACGCGUGGGAAUCUGCCCUUGGGUUCGGAAUAACUCGCCGAAAGGCGUGCUAAUACCGGAUGAUGUCGUAAGACCAAAGAUUUAUCGCCCAAGGAUGAGCCCGCGUAAGAUUAGCUAGUUGGUGGGGUAAAGGCCCACCAAGGCGACGAUCUUUAGCUGGUCUGAGAGGAUGAUCAGCCACACUGGGACUGAGACACGGCCCAGACUCCUACGGGAGGCAGCAGUGGGGAAUAUUGGACAAUGGGCGAAAGCCUGAUCCAGCAAUGCCGCGUGAGUGAUGAAGGCCUUAGGGUUGUAAAGCUCUUUUACCCGGGAUGAUAAUGACAGUACCGGGAGAAUAAGCUCCGGCUAACUCCGUGCCAGCAGCCGCGGUAAUACGGAGGGAGCUAGCGUUGUUCGGAAUUACUGGGCGUAAAGCGCACGUAGGCGGCUUUGUAAGUCAGAGGUGAAAGCCUGGAGCUCAACUCCAGAACUGCCUUUGAGACUGCAUCGCUUGAAUCCAGGAGAGGUGAGUGGAAUUCCGAGUGUAGAGGUGAAAUUCGUAGA
RNAcentral lists this ribosomal RNA (557 nucleotides) under alpha proteobacterium TDB-089. RNAcentral's name for it is "bacterial SSU rRNA". It matches the Rfam family "Bacterial small subunit ribosomal RNA", at positions 102 to 694 of the family's 1533-position model. The record is from RNAcentral. RNAcentral also lists the same sequence under 18 other names. Lineage: Bacteria; Pseudomonadati; Pseudomonadota; Alphaproteobacteria.